This 392-nucleotide unclassified non-coding RNA is filed under the name Hevea brasiliensis (rubber tree). Lineage: Eukaryota; Viridiplantae; Streptophyta; Magnoliopsida; Malpighiales; Euphorbiaceae. The record is from RNAcentral.
CUCGGCACUGCAUUUCUCUCAUCGAAGUCCAAAUCCAAAACCCUAAACUGAUCUCCAAAAUCCAACCUCAAAACCCUUAUUCUCCUCUUGCUUUGCAAUCAAACGCCAUGACGAAGGAAUUCGCGGUGCCGCCCGUAAUUUUUCCCUCCGGUGGCAACCCAACCGUUGGUGGUGCCUCCAACAUGCCGCAACGCAGGGUUCCAACGGCACCUUUUCAACCUCAACGACCUUCAAACUCUGGAAUCCCUUUCAUGUCAUUUGAGAUCGGUUCCGCUCCAACCGCACCUUACGGCGCCGGUCCCAUUGGCGGCGGGCCUGCCGCGUCAUCUGGCGCCGCGAACUUCGACGACGAAGAGCCACUGCUCGAUGAGCUCGGUAUACAUCCUGAUCAA